Long non-coding RNA from Ictalurus punctatus (channel catfish), 1561 nucleotides. The record is from Ensembl. Lineage: Eukaryota; Metazoa; Chordata; Actinopteri; Siluriformes; Ictaluridae.
UGUGUACCAUUCGUCAGCGUCUUUACGCCACGCCGGUCGUUCGUCGGCGUCUUUACAGUAAAGGUUGUCGUUCGUCGGCGUCUUUACAGUAAGGCUGUCGUUCGUCGGCGUCUUUACAGUAAAGGUUGUCGUUCGUCGGCGUCUUUACAGUAAGGCUGUCGUUCGUCGGCGUCUUUACAGUAAGGCUGUCGUUCGUCGGCGUCUUUACAGUAAAGGCUGUCGUUCGUCGGCGUCUUUACAGUAAGGUUGUCGUUCGUCGGCGUCUUUACAGUAAGGUUGUCGUUCGUCGGCGUCUUUACAGUAAGGCUGUCGUUCGUCGGCGUCUUUACAGUAAAGGCUGUCGUUCGUCGGCGUCUUUACAGUAAAGGUUGUCGUUCGUCGGCGUCUUUACAGUAAAGGUUGUCGUUCGUCGGCGUCUUUACAGUAAAGGUUGUCGUUCGUCGGCGUCUUUACAGUAAAGGUUGUCGUUCGUCGGCGUCUUUACAGUAAAGGUUGUCGUUCGUCGGCGUCUUUACAGUAAAGGUUGUCGUUCAUCGGCGUCUUUACAGUAAAGGUUGUCGUUCGUCAGUGUCUUUACAGGAAGCUGGACAUUUGUCAGCGUUUUUAACAUUGCGCUAAUCAUUUGUUAGUGUUUUUUUCAGAACAGUUAAUGUGCUACUUCAGAAUGUGUGAAAUCAUUCACUUUCUGUAGAAAUCUCUGGUGAAAUGCUAGAACAUACAAAAUGAACAGUGGUAGUCCAUAUCUGGCUUCAUAUGUAUGCAAAUUACACUGGAACUAUCUUGGAGCUAACAUAACACUGGUUAGCUGUUAGCACAAAACAGGUUUGCUUGUGCAAACAGACGUAGGCUGCCUUCAAAUCCUAUCGGAAAUCUCUUCCUGAGUGUGCAGAGAGCUCUGUGUCUCCGAACGCCGUGCAUGCACGAUACUGCUCAUCCUAAGCACACAGUAGCCCAAGAGCUCAACUAUACUGAAUAAAACAUUGAACACAAUAUAUUUUGUCACCAUGUUACACAUUUAAUACAUCUGUUACUAACAGACUCGUAGUAUACUUUUCCAGAUUAACAAAGUAAUAAUGGAACAAUUUAUCAAUUAUACAAAUAGUAGUUAGUUGCGGCACUGAUGAAAAUAAAUAAUUUGCAGGAAUGAUCGUGAUCGGAAGCUUUUUUUGGUCCGACUACACAACCGUUCGUUCUGGUCUACUAAUCUGACUGGACUAGAGGUGUUCCAAGAGUGCUGAUGUUUAGAACAACAGUCCUGCUACAGUACGUUUCACUGUUUGUCUGUGUUCACUACAUAAAAUUCCAGCUCUAGCAAUAGUUCACUGCAUUGAAACCGUUACUACACUUUCUAUGCGCUGUCAAUCAGUCUGUGUGGUGGCAUGGCAACGCCCAACACACUACCCCAGCUUUGGCUUCUUUGGGAAUUAUUUUGACGGAGCACAGAAAAACUAAAUAUUUGGCCAUAUUGUUAAUAUUAACUUGAAUUACUUGAUAUUAAUUUCUUGUUUAUAGAACUGUUGUAUAAAAGCAAUAUCACAAGACUCCAUUACUAAAGAAAAGG